Molecule: small RNA, 90 nt
Filed under: Salmonella enterica
Lineage: Bacteria; Pseudomonadati; Pseudomonadota; Gammaproteobacteria; Enterobacterales; Enterobacteriaceae
Also listed under: 1 other name
Description: RtT sRNA
Rfam family: RtT RNA
About the family: This family represents a bacterial cis-regulatory element known as RtT RNA. The exact function of RtT is unknown although it is thought that it may be involved in changing the cellular response in relation to amino acid starvation.
Source: RNAcentral
GAGGAUGAAAACCUCCGGGGGCGGGAGGUUCGACCCGAGCGAAGCGAGAGAACGUUGCGCGAGCAACGGCCCGCAGGGCGAGCCAUCCUC